This 492-nucleotide ribosomal RNA is filed under the name uncultured bacterium. RNAcentral describes it as "partial 16S ribosomal RNA". It matches the Rfam family "Bacterial small subunit ribosomal RNA", at positions 29 to 507 of the family's 1533-position model. The record is from RNAcentral.
AGUGAACGCUGGCGGUAUGCCUAACACAUGCAAGUCGAACGGCAGCACAGUAAGAGCUUGCUCGUACGGGUGGCGAGUGGCGGACGGGUGAGGAAUACAUCGGAAUCUACUUUUUCGUGGGGGAUAACGUAGGGAAACUUACGCGAAUACCGCAGACGACCUACGGGUGAAAGCAGGGGAUCUUCGGACCUUUCGCGUUUGAAUGAGCCGUUGUCGGAUUAGCUAGUUGGCGGGGUAAAGGCCCACCAAGGCGACGAUCCGUAGCUGGUAUGAGAGGAUGAGAGGCCGCACUGGAACGUAGCCAGGGACCAGAGGACUAAGGGAGGGAGCAGAGGCGAAUAUUGGACAAUGGGCGCGAGCAUGAUCCAGCGAUAGCGAGCGGGUGAAAGAGGCCUUGGGGUAGUAAAGACCGCUUGUUGGGAAAAAAAAGCAGCCAGUUAAUAACAAGCUGUACUGACGGUACCUAAAGAAUAAGCACCGGCUAACUACGUG